CCCACCACAAAAUCCGUCCCUGGUUGAAGUAGCAGAAGAAGCUUGAAGGUGAGUGCAAAUAUAAGAGGUUACAAAAAGGUCGAAUCGAUAAACGGGAAGGAAGUGAAUGGGAUUCAUGUUGAGGAGAUGCCAUUUUUAGGCCAAAGAAACGCUGAUUUAAUCAAAGAUACCAUCAUAGAAGAACCAACUCAUGAAUACCUUCUUGGCAGGUUUAUUGAGGAUAGCCCUUAAUCAUGUAGCAAGCUCAGGUGUUGGUGGCAAUGGAUUUGGUGCAACUACGGAGAUGAGCCUCAAGAAACUGAUUUGGGUCAUCACUCGCGUACACGUUGAAGUCGAUAAAUACAGCUCCUGGGAUGAUGCUGUAGAGAUUGAUAAUAGGGUAGACGCCGCUAGGAAAAAUGGAAUGCGUCAUGACUGGAUAAUUCGAGACUUCUAUACUCACAAGAUCAUAACAAGAGCAUUAGAGCAACAAGGUUCACCUUCUAAAUAACAGCACAAAUUCCUCAGUUUCUUCAUAUAAAACUCGAAUUGCAUAUUUUGUAUAUGUGUGAUCAUGACUAGAAACAAGAAGAUUGUGUAAAAUCCCUGACGAAGUUAAAAAGGAAGUCCAGCCCUUUUACUUCAAUAGAACAGCCAUUGCAACAGAAGAUAUUGA
Molecule: RNA transcript, 655 nt
Organism: Olea europaea var. sylvestris
Lineage: Eukaryota; Viridiplantae; Streptophyta; Magnoliopsida; Lamiales; Oleaceae
Gene name: palmitoyl-acyl carrier protein thioesterase, chloroplastic-like
Exons: 4
Source: RefSeq, a predicted model, not a curated record